AAGUCGUAACAAGGUUUCCGUAGGUGAACCUGCGGAAGGAUCAUUACAAAUCAAUUGGGGAAAUCGAUAGAUUUCUCUGUAAGCACAGCGGGCGCAAGCUUGCUGAUGUUAACGCUUGUUCAGUUUGACAUAGUAAUUGUACCAUUUAAAAAAUACAACUUUUAACAAUGGAUCUCUUGGCUCUU
RNAcentral lists this unclassified non-coding RNA (185 nucleotides) under fungal sp. Its description in RNAcentral is "partial internal transcribed spacer region". The stretch from base 1 to 46 matches the Rfam family "Eukaryotic small subunit ribosomal RNA", at positions 1786 to 1831 of the family's 1831-position model. The record is from RNAcentral. Lineage: Eukaryota; Fungi.